GUGUCAGCAGCCGCGGUAAUACGUAGGGGGCAAGCGUUGUCCGGAUUUAUUGGGCGUAAAGAGCGUGUAGGCGGCUGGAUAGGUCCGUUGUGAAAACUCGAGGCUCAACCUCGAGACGUCGAUGGAAACCCUCCAGCUAGAGUCCGGAAGAGGAGAGUGGAAUUCCUGGUGUAGCGGUGAAAUGCGCAGAUAUCAGGAAGAACACCCGUGGCGAAGGCGGCUCUCUGGGACGUGACUGACGCUGAGACGCGAAAGCGUGGGGAGCGAACAGGAUUAGAUACCCUGGUAGUCCACGCUGUAAACGAUGGGUGCUAGGUGUGGGCGGUGUCGACUCCGUCCGUGCCGAAGCUAACGCAUUAAGCACCCCGCCUGGGGAGUACGGCCGCAAGGCUAAA
RNAcentral lists this ribosomal RNA (395 nucleotides) under uncultured bacterium. RNAcentral's name for it is "bacterial SSU rRNA". It matches the Rfam family "Bacterial small subunit ribosomal RNA", at positions 505 to 898 of the family's 1533-position model. The record is from RNAcentral.